This 24-nucleotide non-coding RNA is filed under the name Arabidopsis thaliana (thale cress). The record is from RNAcentral. Lineage: Eukaryota; Viridiplantae; Streptophyta; Magnoliopsida; Brassicales; Brassicaceae.
CAAUAGUGUUGAUGGUCUUCAUUC